CCUACACAUGCAAGUCGAGCGGAUGAAGGGAGCUUGCUCUCUGAUUCAGCGGCGGACGGGAGAGUAAUGCCUAGGAAUCUGCCUGGUAGUGGGGGACAACGUUCCGAAAGGAGCGCUAAUACCGCAUACGUCCUACGGGAGAAAGUGGGGGAUCUUCGGACCUCACGCUAUCAGAUGAGCCUAGGUCGGAUUAGCUAGUAGGUGGGGUAAUGGCUCACCUAGGCGACGAUCCGUAACUGGUCUGAGAGGAUGAUCAGUCACACUGGAACUGAGACACGGUCCAGACUCCUACGGGAGGCAGCAGUGGGGAAUAUUGGACAAUGGGCGAAAGCCUGAUCCAGCCAUGCCGCGUGUGUGAAGAAGGUCUUCGGAUUGUAAAGCACUUUAAGUUGGGAGGAAGGGCAGUAAGUUAAUACCUUGCUGUUUUGACGUUACCAACAGAAUAAGCACCGGCUAACUUCGUGCCAGCAGCCGCGGUAAUACGAAGGGUGCAAGCGUUAAUCGGAGUUACUGGGCGUAAAGCGCGCGUAGGUGGUUUGGUAAGAUGGAUGUGAAAUCCCCGGGCUCAACCUGGGAACUGCAUCCAUAACUGCCUGACUAGAGUACGGUAGAGGGUGGUGGAAUUUCCUGUGUAGCGGUGAAAUGCGUAGAUAUAGGAAGGAACACCAGUGGCGAAGGCGACCACCUGGACUGAUACUGACACUGAGGUGCGAAAGCGUGGG
Molecule: ribosomal RNA, 722 nt
Filed under: uncultured bacterium
Lineage: Bacteria
Description: bacterial SSU rRNA
Rfam family: Bacterial small subunit ribosomal RNA
Source: RNAcentral